GCUUGGCUGGCUCAGUCAGUGGAGCAUGUGACUCUUGAUCUUGGGGUUGUGAGUUCAAGCCUCACAUUGGGUA
RNAcentral lists this transfer RNA (73 nucleotides) under Mustela putorius furo (domestic ferret). It matches the Rfam family "tRNA". Rfam says of the family: Transfer RNA (tRNA) molecules are approximately 80 nucleotides in length. Their secondary structure includes four short double-helical elements and three loops (D, anti-codon, and T loops). The record is from Rfam by way of RNAcentral. Lineage: Eukaryota; Metazoa; Chordata; Mammalia; Carnivora; Mustelidae.